Molecule: ribosomal RNA, 636 nt
Filed under: Pseudoalteromonas sp. QHL_31
Lineage: Bacteria; Pseudomonadati; Pseudomonadota; Gammaproteobacteria; Alteromonadales; Pseudoalteromonadaceae
Description: bacterial SSU rRNA
Rfam family: Bacterial small subunit ribosomal RNA
Source: RNAcentral
AGCGGCGGACGGGUGAGUAAUGCUUGGGAAUAUGCCUUUUGGUGGGGGACAACAGUUGGAAACGACUGCUAAUACCGCAUGAUGUCUACGGACCAAAGUGGGGGACCUUCGGGCCUCACGCCAAGAGAUUAGCCCAAGUGGGAUUAGCUAGUUGGUAAGGUAAUGGCUUACCAAGGCGACGAUCCCUAGCUGGUUUGAGAGGAUGAUCAGCCACACUGGGACUGAGACACGGCCCAGACUCCUACGGGAGGCAGCAGUGGGGAAUAUUGCACAAUGGGCGCAAGCCUGAUGCAGCCAUGCCGCGUGUGUGAAGAAGGCCUUCGGGUUGUAAAGCACUUUCAGUAAGGAGGAAAGGUUAUACUUUAAUAGAGUAUAUCUGUGACGUUACUUACAGAAGAAGCACCGGCUAACUCCGUGCCAGCAGCCGCGGUAAUACGGAGGGUGCGAGCGUUAAUCGGAAUUACUGGGCGUAAAGCGUACGCAGGCGGUUUGUUAAGCGAGAUGUGAAAGCCCUGGGCUCAACCUGGGAACUGCAUUUCGAACUGGCAAACUAGAGUGUGAUAGAGGGUGGUAGAAUUUCAGGUGUAGCGGUGAAAUGCGUAGAGAUCUGAAGGAAUACCGAUGGCGAAGGCAGCC